GUAGUUGACGAGCACUUCAAUACAUUCUUCCAAAUUGUUUUGACGCAAUUGGUCUGAUGCUCAUGAUUCGCAUUAAACACCAGCACCAGGAGUUUUCUUCUGAUCAAAUAUCUGAUGUUUUGCCUCAGAAGACCCGGUCAUGAUUUCUUGUGUGAUUGAGAUUGCCUGGAAUAAAUUUGUUUUAGUGAAUGUUUUCAAGCAUUCAAUAUCAUUUGGUUGGUCCACAAGAUACAGAGGACCACUGACGAGUUUGGUUCCUGACAAGUGAGUUCUUGGAGCAUCAGACCCGAAUUGUUCAAGGUGGCUGCCGAUUGAGAACCUUCCCAUUUUAGUAGCAUUGUGUAUAUCUCUACACAUUGUCUAAAAUUCCUUAAUAAAUUGGCAUCUGAUGUGAAUAUCUAUUGAGAUUUCAACCAUAAGGAGACUCAUUAAGUGUUA
Long non-coding RNA from Olea europaea var. sylvestris, 438 nucleotides. RefSeq lists it as uncharacterized. NCBI's taxonomy places the organism in Eukaryota, Viridiplantae, Streptophyta, Magnoliopsida, Lamiales, Oleaceae. The record is from RefSeq and is a predicted model, not a curated record. The transcript has 2 exons.